Non-coding RNA from Trichobilharzia regenti, 44 nucleotides. The record is from Rfam. Lineage: Eukaryota; Metazoa; Platyhelminthes; Trematoda; Strigeidida; Schistosomatidae.
AUCCAGCUGACGAGUCCCAAAUAGGACGAAUGUGCAUCCUGGAU